GGGUUGUGAGGUUAAGCGACUAAGCGUACACGGUGGAUGCCCUGGCAGUCAGAGGCGAUGAAGGACGUGCUAAUCUGCGAUAAGCGUCGGUAAGGUGAUAUGAACCGUUAUAACCGGCGAUUUCCGAAUGGGGAAACCCAGUGUGUUUCGACACACUAUCAUUAACUGAAUCCAUAGGUUAAUGAGGCGAACCGGGGGAACUGAAACAUCUAAGUACCCCGAGGAAAAGAAAUCAACCGAGAUUCCCCCAGUAGCGGCGAGCGAACGGGGAGCAGCCCAGAGCCUGAAUCAGUGUGUGUGUUAGUGGAAGCGUCUGGAAAGGCGCGCGAUACAGGGUGACAGCCCCGUACACAAAAAUGCACAUGCUGUGAGCUCGAUGAGUAGGGCGGGACACGUGGUAUCCUGUCUGAAUAUGGGGGGACCAUCCUCCAAGGCUAAAUACUCCUGACUGACCGAUAGUGAACCAGUACCGUGAGGAAAGGCGAAAAGAACCCCGGCGAGGGAGUGAAAAAGAACCUGAAACCGUGUACGUACAAGCAGUGGGAGCACGCUUAGGCGUGUGACUGCGUACCUUUUGUAUAAUGGGUCAGCGACUUAUAUUCUGUAGCAAGGUUAACCGAAUAGGGGAGCCGAAGGGAAACCGAGUCUUAACUGGGCGUUAAGUUGCAGGGUAUAGACCCGAAACCCGGUGAUCUCAGCCAUGGGCAGGUUGAAGGUUGGGUAACACUAACUGGAGGACCGAACCGACUAAUGUUGAAAAAAAUUAGCGGAUGACUUGUGGCUGGGGGUGAAAGGCCAAUCAAACCGGGAGAUAGCUGGUUCUCCCCGAAAGCUAUUUAGGUAGCGCCUCGUGAAUUCAUCUCCGGGGGUAGAGCACUGUUUCGGCAAGGGGGUCAUCCCGACUUACCAACCCGAUGCAAACUGCGAAUACCGGAGAAUGUUAUCACGGGAGACACACGGCGGGUGCUAACGUCCGUCGUGAAGAGGGAAACAACCCAGACCGCCAGCUAAGGUCCCAAAGUCAUGGUUAAGUGGGAAACGAUGUGGGAAGGCCCAGACAGCCAGGAUGUUGGCUUAGAAGCAGCCAUCAUUUAAAGAAAGCGUAAUAGCUCACUGGUCGAGUCGGCCUGCGCGGAAGAUGUAACGGGGCUAAACCAUGCACCGAAGCUGCGGCAGCGACGCUUAUGCGUUGUUGGGUAGGGGAGCGUUCUGUAAGCCUGCGAAGGUGUGCUGUGAGGCAUGCUGGAGGUAUCAGAAGUGCGAAUGCUGACAUAAGUAACGAUAAAGCGGGUGAAAAGCCCGCUCGCCGGAAGACCAAGGGUUCCUGUCCAACGUUAAUCGGGGCAGGGUGAGUCGACCCCUAAGGCGAGGCCGAAAGGCGUAGUCGAUGGGAAACAGGUUAAUAUUCCUGUACUUGGUGUUACUGCGAAGGGGGGACGGAGAAGGCUAUGUUGGCCGGGCGACGGUUGUCCCGGUUUAAGCGUGUAGGCUGGUUUUCCAGGCAAAUCCGGAAAAUCAAGGCUGAGGCGUGAUGACGAGGCACUACGGUGCUGAAGCAACAAAUGCCCUGCUUCCGGGGAAAAGCCUCUAAGCAUCAGGUAACAUCAAAUCGUACCCCAAAACCGACACAGGUGGUCAGGUAGAGAAUACCAAGGCGCUUGAGAGAACUCGGGUGAAGGAACUAGGCAAAAUGGUGCCGUAACUUCGGGAGAAGGCACGCUGAUAUGUAGGUGAAGUCCCUCGCGGAUGGAGCUGAAAUCAGUCGAAGAUACCAGCUGGCUGCAACUGUUUAUUAAAAACACAGCACUGUGCAAACACGAAAGUGGACGUAUACGGUGUGACGCCUGCCCGGUGCCGGAAGGUUAAUUGAUGGGGUUAGCGCAAGCGAAGCUCUUGAUCGAAGCCCCGGUAAACGGCGGCCGUAACUAUAACGGUCCUAAGGUAGCGAAAUUCCUUGUCGGGUAAGUUCCGACCUGCACGAAUGGCGUAAUGAUGGCCAGGCUGUCUCCACCCGAGACUCAGUGAAAUUGAACUCGCUGUGAAGAUGCAGUGUACCCGCGGCAAGACGGAAAGACCCCGUGAACCUUUACUAUAGCUUGACACUGAACAUUGAGCCUUGAUGUGUAGGAUAGGUGGGAGGCUUUGAAGUGUGGACGCCAGUCUGCAUGGAGCCGACCUUGAAAUACCACCCUUUAAUGUUUGAUGUUCUAACGUUGACCCGUAAUCCGGGUUGCGGACAGUGUCUGGUGGGUAGUUUGACUGGGGCGGUCUCCUCCUAAAGAGUAACGGAGGAGCACGAAGGUUGGCUAAUCCUGGUCGGACAUCAGGAGGUUAGUGCAAUGGCAUAAGCCAGCUUGACUGCGAGCGUGACGGCGCGAGCAGGUGCGAAAGCAGGUCAUAGUGAUCCGGUGGUUCUGAAUGGAAGGGCCAUCGCUCAACGGAUAAAAGGUACUCCGGGGAUAACAGGCUGAUACCGCCCAAGAGUUCAUAUCGACGGCGGUGUUUGGCACCUCGAUGUCGGCUCAUCACAUCCUGGGGCUGAAGUAGGUCCCAAGGGUAUGGCUGUUCGCCAUUUAAAGUGGUACGCGAGCUGGGUUUAGAACGUCGUGAGACAGUUCGGUCCCUAUCUGCCGUGGGCGCUGGAGAAUUGAGGGGCUGCUCCUGGUACGAGAGGACCGGAGUGGACGCAUCACUGGUGUUCGGGUUGUCAUGCCAAUGGCACUGCCCGGUAGCUAAAUGCGGAAGAGAUAAGUGCUGAAAGCAUCUAAGCACGAAACUUGCCCCGAGAUGAGUUCUCCCUGACUCCUUGAGAGUCCUGAAGGAACGUUGAAGACGACGACGUUGAUAGGCCGGGUGUGUAAGCGCAGCGAUGCGUUGAGCUAACCGGUACUAAUGAACCGUGAGGCUUAACCUUACAACGCCGAAG
RNAcentral lists this ribosomal RNA (2926 nucleotides) under Escherichia coli. Its description in RNAcentral is "23S ribosomal RNA". It matches the Rfam family "Bacterial large subunit ribosomal RNA". Lineage: Bacteria; Pseudomonadati; Pseudomonadota; Gammaproteobacteria; Enterobacterales; Enterobacteriaceae. The record is from RNAcentral.